GUGCCUGAAGAGUUUACUACCGAAUCCAAAGAUACGGUCUUCUCCCCAGCGCUCAUGAUAGUUAAGAGAAAUUCACAAAGUCGUGACCGAGAGGAAAGAGCGCCAUCUACUGCAUCGUCAAAACCUCUCCUUUCCCCUCUGAAAGUCGUUCUUGGAGAUGUCUUCAGUAAUUUACGGUCCUGA
RNAcentral lists this long non-coding RNA (183 nucleotides) under Ornithorhynchus anatinus (platypus). RNAcentral describes it as "lncRNA (ENSOANG00000049522.1)". The record is from RNAcentral. Lineage: Eukaryota; Metazoa; Chordata; Mammalia; Monotremata; Ornithorhynchidae.